This 10221-nucleotide long non-coding RNA is filed under the name Theobroma cacao (cacao). RNAcentral describes it as "long non-coding RNA (TCAC_LNC000136)". The record is from RNAcentral. Lineage: Eukaryota; Viridiplantae; Streptophyta; Magnoliopsida; Malvales; Malvaceae.
GAUUGCUUAAUGGUUAAGUAUGACACAUGGACCAAUGGAAUGAUGACAUGUGUCAAAAUCUCAUCCAUUCAUUAUUUUGGCUUAAAAAUCAGCAUAAAAUCAGUCCAUUUCUCAUUCAUAUGUCUGGCCAAAGAAGAACAAAGGAAGAAAAGAAAGAACAAGAACCCUAGGGUGAAAAUUCUAGAGAAAAAUUGAUGGAUUUCAAGUAAUCAAGCAAUCAAAGGUAAAAUUUCUUGAUUUUGACUUAUGAUCUACCUUUUUCAUGCAUUAUUUUGCAUUUUCCAUGGUUGAAUCACAAGAUAUCAUGGCUAGCCGAAUGGGUAUGGAAAGAGAAUGAUGUUAAAUUGAUUUGAUUUCAAGUUAUGUUAGUGUUUUUAGUUAUUUUAUCAUGUCUAGAAGCAAAACAACAAGAAAAUAAUUCAUUUUCCCCAUCACCCAUCAAUGGCCGAACCUACCUUGUAUUGAGUGAGGAUGAAUUUGAUUUUUUAUUUUAAGAGAAUUGGUUAGAAAAUGAUGAAUUAUGGUGUGAAAAAUUAGUAGGAAAAAUCACGGUGUUAAUGUACCAUUAUUGAUCGAAAAUUUUAAGAAGAAAAGUGAAGAUGGUUUUGCCAAAUUUUAGGUUAUUUGACUUGUGUUUGGUGAAUUAAGGUAUUGGAAAAUAAAUGGAGCAAUUUGGAGCUAAAUUGGACGCGUUGGCCAAUUAAUCGGGUGAUAAGACGAAUUAGGUCAAUAUCAGGUUUAGAUGGUUACUCGUGCAUUUUGCAUUCCAUAUCAUACAUUAGUAGUCUAAAUUAGUUUAAUUUCGAUUUAGUACCAAUGUAGUAAGUUUCUCGAUUUUGUACUAUGUCAAGGUGGUGAGUCCUCUGAUAAAGGUAAGAAAAUUGCAUCCGAGGACCAGUAGUCAGAGUACUUCAAAAAUUCACACUCUAGACAUUGUGAGUAACCUUACUAUCAUCUUAAUUAUCUAAAGUGAUUUUUAUCCGAUUUUGUGAAUUUCAUGAAAAAUGAAUUAAAUGAUUAAUUUUUCAGUUUUAUAAACAAAAUGUGAUUUAAUGAAAAUAAUUUUAUAAAAUUGUCUUGAAAUUGAAUGAUGGUUUUGGAAAAUAGAGUAAUUGGAGAUCAAUUGCUGUGUUGUAAAUUAUGGUUUGAAUUGAAUGGCUUAUGAUAAUGUGGACAUGAGUGGCUGGAUUUGGUAAAUGUGCUGAAAAUGUAUGAACUGUUGUUUUGCCUUGACAUGCUGUGUUGUAAAAUAAUUGCCACGUCAUGCUGUUGGAAUUUUAUUGAUUUGGUGGAUAAUUAUUAGCUUACUGCAGUGGACGGGUUUCUGUGGACCAACCUAUUAGAGGGGCACGGUAAACCCCAUUAUAUCUUACCUCAGUAUGAGAGGCACGGAUGGAUAACUCCUGAGGUUAACACUUUAGAGUUCACUUCACGCUAAACCACCGCGUGAGGGUGAACUCAGCCAACGCCAAGGAACGACUAUGUUUUCAAAAUAAAAACAUAAUUUAUGCGUACAUGACUUUUUAACAGCCUUGGCGGACUCGGUUGGGAUAGCCCUCGAUCAAGGCAUCCAUGAUAACUGGGUAUGAGAAUGAUUUUGACACAAGCCAAAGCUUUUAAGAAAUUCAUAAGCCAUGUUGAUUACUCGAUUUAUAUGAAUUGAUUUUAUUUGGUUGAAACAAGUUGAAAGGUGAUGAAUUUCAAUAUGUUAAACUGUUUUAUCUGUCUUCAUUUACUCAGCUUUACAUAUUUUAGAUAGUAUUUGUUUACUCACUGGAAUUUUAUAAUCUCACCACCCUCCUUUCCACCCAUUUCAAACUCAGUAUAGGCUGUAGAUAGCUGAUAUCGUCGAAGGCCACAGUUGGCUUUACUUCCUCAAAAACUGUAAGUUUGCAACCUUCGUUCAUUUUUGUCAUUUGGGGGUCCACAUGUCAUUGUAAAUUAAAUUGCAUACUUCAGUUAUCUGUACUACUGUAUGUAGAAAUUUAUUUUGCUUUUACACUGUAAAUAAAAAUUAUUUACGCAGUGUUUUAAAAAUAUUGUUUUAUGAGAAAAUUGAGUAUUUUAUUCAAUAUUUUUAUUUUAUUCUAAUAGUCAUAAUUUCACUUUAAACGAAUGUUUUAGAUAUCCAAAUUUAUUUUUGAUUAUGAAAUAUGUGUUUUGCACCGUAUACUACAUUAUUAGUUAGUUUCGAAAUUUUUAGAGAAAAAUGACUAAAAUACCCCUGUGAGACAAAAAUUAUUUUUUAUUGUUUUAAGUUGGAAAUAGUUUAAAAUCUUUUAAAACGUGAUAUUUGGCAACGGUUACUCACAGAGAAAAUGAGAAACUGAUAUUAAAUCCUUGCGGGGUUCCGGUUGACAUUUCGAGUAAUGAGUGUUGAUCGAGACAUCGAGGGGGUUGUCACGGGCUCGAGGGGAGUUUCGGGUCGUAACAAUCAUCAUCCACCAACUCAAAUAAAUAUUUAUCUAAUUUCAAUUUAUGCUAUUCAAAGCCACUGUUUAACCGAUGCCUUUUAAAAGCAUCUAAUCUUUUCUUAGUAGUUAUUGGGUCCUUACCACUCGAAAUAAUAGCACUACCAUGCCCACCUUCACCACCGGUGACUUGUCUCAUUGACAUUUGAGACUGUUGACCACUUUCACAAACAAGAAAUUAAGGUUGGGAUUGCAACAUAUACUUAUAACAUUAAAACAACUCAUCCAUUGUUUUUCUCAAUAAAGAAAACAUCAACAGAGCUUGCUCAGGAAAAUACAUAUCUUGCAAAGUAAAUUCAACCUAAGCAAGCUUUUUCCUUAGAUCAAAAAUUGAGGCGAUGUACAACACUAAAUUCAUUUUUUCCACAUUCUCUCAAUACUUGUCAAAUGUAGUUUUCAUACUCAUUGUUAUAGACUUCAAAUCUACAUCAUUACUUUGUUGCCAUUCAAUCAAAGUGUCACACACAUCAGAAAUAGAAUUAAGAAAAGAAUUGGCAAUGACAUAAAAUGUACCUAAAACAUUCACAGUCAUAUCAUAAAACUCUUUCAAAAAAAAAAAAAUCCUCAUAACAGUUGCUUAUUCAUUUUCAUCAGGCACCCCAUCUCUAUUCCUCGCUAAUUCACUUAUGUAACUUCUAUCACAAUACUCAAAUGAUGCAAAAGCCCUCUCAAAUUUCACAGUUGUAUCGAGUAUAAAAAAAGUAAAAUUCCAUUUGGUGCACACAUCUAAACACAAUAAACACUUACUAUGAACUCCUGCACUAGUAGCACACUCCUUAAAUUUAGCUAAUCUAGAAGGAGAUUGUUUAAUAUAUUUCACUGCUGCUCUAACACGAGCAAUUGAGUCAUUGAUAUCUUUUAACCCAUCAGUCACAGUAUGAUUAACAAUAUGUGCAACGCAUUUAAUAUGAAAAAAUUUACCUCAUAAAAUACUAGUUUUGGCAACAUAUAAAUUUUUUCUUCAAAUGUCUUAUUGCAACAUCAUUGGAACUAGUAUUAUCAAUAUUAAUAGAAAAAAUCUUUUGAAUCCCCUAAUCAGCCAAACAUCUAUCAAUUGCCUUCCUAAUAGUCUGACCUUUGAGACUAGUAAUGGGACAAAAGUUCAAAAUCAUUUUCUGCAACGUUUAAUCUUUAUCAACAAAAUGAGCAGUUAGAUAUAAAUAAUUAAUUCUUCAUACCAAAGUCCAUGUGUUUGUGGUGAGACAUAUUCUACUAGAAUAUGAUCUCAAAAAUUUUCUCAUAUGAGUUUUUUCAUCAACAUAAACCUUAUAAUAAUCCCUAGCAAUAGCCCAUCGUGACAGUAUAUGAAAUCUAAGAUAUGCUUCUUUCAUAUGUUUCCUAUACUCUUUCGCUUCCACAAAUCUACAAGGCAACUCAUCUAUAAUAAUCAUCUUAGCUAAACUCCUUCUAAAUGCAUCAUGAUCAAAUUUCCAACCAUCAAAAGACACAUCUCCUCUUGAUGAAAAAACUAAUUCCAUUUGAUUACUCUCCUCACUAGCACAGAGUAUAUUCAACUUCAGAUAAAUCUUAAUAUGAUUAUUUAAAGAAGAUGUUUUAUUUUUUUGGUAUCAGCAUAUAAGACCUUAUCAUAAUGACUACAACUAGCCUUAUGAUUACCUUUGUCAUCAACAAAUUUUGCGAAGUGAUCCCACACAAGCAAUGAUGUCUUUGAUGGUUCCUUGUGCUUUUAUGGUUUAGAGCUUACUGCUUCACUUCUUGCGUUGCCUUCAAUAACACUUACAUCAACUUGAGGUGUAGAUGUUGAGUCAUUAGUUGCUAAAUUUAUAUUCUCCUCAAUUUCAUUUGACAUCUGCAAAAAAAAAAAAAAUCAUCAUAUAAGUAAAUAUGGUAUGCCAAAGUGAAAAAGAAUAAUAAUACCAUGCAUAACCAAAAAAAAAAACAAGCAAAAAAAAUUGAAAAAAUGUAUAUUUCUUUGUUAAUAUUAAUAUUGUAAGUAUUAAUUAUGAAGAUUAAAAAUCUCUUUCUAAGUUCUAACCCAAACCAUCUCAUUUUCUAAUUUGUCAUACUUUAAUGGAGCGUAAUAUAAAUGAUUUAAAUCCUUAAACAAUUUCUAAAUUAAUUUUGAUUUAUGAAUAUGGAAAACAGAAAAUUAAAGUAUUGGUUGAUAUACCUUUUUUGUUUUUGGAUUAAUAUUUUCAAUUUGUUCUUUGAUUGAUGUGCCCCUUAUAUGACUCAUAUCUCUUUUCCAUUAUGAGAGGUUGAACAUGUGAUUUUUGGAUUAAAUUAAUUAGCAAAAAAAUUGACUCUUAUACACAUUUUAAUUUUUGGACAAAUAGACUUAACUUAAUAAGGGUGUGACAUGAAUUUAUUUGUCAAAACCUAAACAUUUCUAUGAUUUAUUGAUUAAGUUUUAUAAGAACUUGCAAAUAAAACAAAUUUUCUUGGAGAAAAAAAGUAUCAAUGCAAGCAUCAAUUUGGCCAAUGCUAGAAUGUUAUGAAUUAAAUUUGGUCAAUGAUAAUAUGUUAUGAAUUAUGUAGAGACUUAGACAUGAAUAAAAGUUUUUAUUAUUUAUGGUCUAAUUAAUAAAAAAAAGAAUAAUAGUUAGUUAAAGAGUUUAAAAAGAAAUAAUAAUAUAAAAUCCAAAUUAAUUUCUAAAUCCUAGCUUUAUAUUUCUUUAUAUAAAGAAAAAAAAUGUAUAUUUCUUUAUCUAAAAAUCAAGUUCAAUUUUCUCUAAUAUUCAUAUUGUAAGUACUAAUUUAAAAAAUAUUUAAUAAAGAAAAUAAACAACUUUUUUUUAAAUUAAAAAAACGAAACAUUUGGUGCACAAAUUCAUUCAAUGUACACCUAAACAUUCUGCUCUUAAAUGUAAACCCAUACAUGAAACCCACUUGUAGACCAAACAUGAGACAACAUAAUCAACAUAAGUUACAUAACCAAACAAGUUGGAUUGCAAAAGCACAUCUGGGAUAGGGAUCAAGGCUAAAAAGACCAGCUUUCAUUGUUCACACUUUACAUAGCAAAAAAAAAAAAAAUCUCAACAAAAGCCUCACAAAUCACAAAACCCAUUAAAAUACAAAACAAUCUGAAUUUCAUUGUUCAUAUAGCAAGCACAAUCUGUCAACUACUCAAGUUCCUCAACAUUAAAUAUACCUUGAAGAUAAAUUUGUUACAAAGGGAAGAUGACAGCAAGAGACAACUGGUGACUGGCGAGGAGGAGGACGACGACAGGAGAGUGGAGAUGGCAGCAAGGGGUUGGCAACGACAAUUGAUUAGGACCAAGGAAGAAAGUUUUUAGGGUUUCAAAGGGAAAAAAAAGGGUUGAUUUGAUGAGAGAAUGCAAAAAUCGGGGAAGGAAAAAAAGAAAAAAAGGGAUUAAAAAGAUAAAAAUGGAAUUUCACUCAUCCCCUUCAGUUGUUCUGCUAGCUCGGGUGGGGAAGAUGUGUGGCCGAAAAUUGAAUCGUGCAACCUUCUAAACUGAUAGUUAAAAUUGACCCCUUAAAUCGACACUAAAUAACCGAGCUGAUUGUGGCCGCUGACGUCGAUUCUGAUCGGUUGUACGGUUGCAACUGACUUGUGCUCGCUUUAACUGUACCAUUGACUAAUGAAAGUUGGUCAACGAUUAGAGAAAAUGACUUAUUCGAUCUAAAAUAAGAAUUCAAAGGCUUAUUUAAACGUAAUAAAAGGAAAUGGGUUAAAUUGAUUUUUUUGGUCUAAUUUGGAGAUUUAUUUACACAUUUAACUUUUUCUUUUCCUUGUUUUUGAACUAAGCAUUUAGAAACCUUUUGAAUUUUGAUAUUCAACAUUUGCCCAAUCCAAAUACUCUAUCCUUAUUUCUUAUCCCACUUUGUGCUCUGACUCUCAUAAAAUAUCAUGUGUUUAAUUUUUUAUUACUAAUUAAUGCAUAUUUGAUUUUAAAUUCUUUUCUUAUUUCUCUCUCAUAUUUCCUUUUGUGAGAAAUAAGGAAAAAAAUUAAACCAGUAAUCCUUUUGUGAUAGAGAAAAGGAAAUAUGAGAGAUAAACAUGGAAAGAAUUAAAAUUAAAUAUAUAUUAAUUAAUAAUUAAAAGGUAAGUGUAUGGUACUUUGUGAGAGUUGGGGAGCAAAUUGGGAUAGGAAAAAGGGCAGGGGAUUUAGAUUCACUUUUACUUAAAAAAAAUCAUGAUUAAAGCUUUUGAUUUAAAAUAUAUAUAUUUUCAAUCAUAAGAAUAAAUUCCUAAUUAUUUUUAAAAAUCCAAUCUAUUUGUUUUCAACCCUAAUCGAAAUCUCUUAUCAAAAUGGUAACAGCAAAUUCAAAUCUAUACAAUUUAUAAAUAAAUGAAAGUUAAAUAAAAAUAUAAAAAAAUAUAAAUAGAAUAAGGAGAAAAAUGUGGAAUAGAACUAUGCAUUUUUGUUUUUUAUUAUUUUGAACUUCUUUUGUGUACAUUUUCUUUUUCAUUAAAAAAGGUAAAUAUUUUUCAUCAACCCGUUAGCAAUGGUGGGCCAAUUUUCUAGUUUUAAUCUGGCUUUAAAUUAAUCAAUCUUUUUUUUUAAUGAAAUAGCAUUGUUAUGGUGUUACAUGUAUUUUACAUGAAUUCACUAAUUAAAUUUUUAUCUAUUACUAUUAUCAUUGUAUUAAUGUCCACACAUACACAGGUUUGAUAUUAAUUUUCAUACAUACACAAACAUGUUAUUAAUUUCCAAACAUGCACAAAUAUGUUAAUAAUUUCCAGACACGAGUAUGUUAUUCACACAUUCACCAGUUUGGUAUUAGUUUUCUCAUAUUCAAAGUUUUGAUAUUAAUUUCCACAUACAGGUUUUGAUAUUAAUUUACAUUCAUACAAAAGGUUAGGUAAUAGUUUCUAAAAGUACACCAAUAUGUUACCAAUUUUCACACAUACAAAGGCAUGAUAUUAAUUUCAAAACAUACAUAAUUUUGAUAUUAGUUUCCACAAAUACAUUGAUAUGAUAUUAAUUUCCAUGUAUACAUAGGUUUGAUAUUAGUUUCCAUACAUACUAGGUUUGAUAUUAGUUUCCAAAAAUACACCAAUAUGAUAUUAAUUUGUACACAUACACAGGUAUGAUAUUAAUUUCCAAACAUGCACAAGUUUCAUAUUAAUUUCCACAAAUAUACUGCUAUGAUAUUAAUUUCCACAUAUACACUGGUUUGAUAUUUAUUACCAUACAUAGGUUUGAUAUUAAGUUCAAGACACAUACAUGUAUGAUAUUAAUUUCCACACAUACACAAGCUUGAUAUAAAUUUCCAUACCUACACAAGUUUGAUAUUAAGUUUUAAAGACAAACACAGGUAUGACAUUAGUUUCCACACAUAAACAGGUUUGAUAUUAAUUUUCAUAUACACAGGUUAGAUAUUAAUUUCGAGACAUACACAAGUAUGAUAUUAAUUUCCACACAUACAUAAGUUUGAUAUUAACUAACUUCCAUACAUGCACAAGUUUGAUAUUAAUUUCAAGACAUAAGUAUGAUAUUAUUUCUACACAUACACAGGUUUGAUAUUAAUUUUCACACAUACGCAGAUAUGAUAUUGAUUUUAAAAAAUACACCGAUAUUAAUUUUGUAUUAAAAGAGUUUUAGUAUGGAAAUGGCAGAAAUUUGCCAUCCAGAAUGGGAUCUAUCCCUUUUGUGUAUCUUGGUGUUCCAUCGAGGGUGAACUCUAGAAGCCCUCGAACAUGGAAAUCAAUGGUAAGCAAAUUUAAAAACGAGCUCGUUUGAUGACAAAAGAAAUAUUUGUCUUUUGGAGGAAGGAUUAUUUUUAUAAAUUUUGUUUUGAACUCAUUGCCUGUGUACAACUUAUCAGUUUUUCAAGCACCUAAAGGAGUGAUUAAGAAACCUGGAAGAUACUUCUCUUAGAGAGGUGAUGACAAUAGGAGGAAGAUUGCAAAGGUGAUAUGGGCAGUAGUAUGUGAGCCGAAGAUAUUGGGAGGGUUGGGACUUUAUAAUUUUUAUCAUAAGAUUUCAAUCAUGUUAGGAAAGUGAUAGUGGCGUUAUGGGGUUGAAAAGGGCUCUGUGGUGAAGGCUCAUCUGUGGUAAAUAUGAUGCAGGAAAAUUGCACUGGCUGCCUUGAAUCAGCUUAAGGAGAGAAUGUCAAAUGUUUCGAGAAAUAUAGUGAAUGUACCAAAAUUUGAUGGAGUGGAGAAAUUGGUGGGUAGAAACGAGUCGGAUGGUGGGGAAUGGAAGAGAUGUUUUCUUCUGGUUAAACAAUUGGACUACAGCUUGCGAUAACCUUGCGAAAUUAGGCGUGGACAGGCCACAUGAACUGCUCGAACUUUUCCCUUAAAUGUUUGAGUGACCUUUCUUGUACGCUGGUUGAAUUUUCUGCUGCUGGUUUAUUAAUGGAAAGCUGUUGCAGGUUCAUUACAGGGAGGACUGUUUGCUGUGGCAGACUACUCAUUAUGGAACGGUCUGCAAGUAAAAGGAACUUACAGAAUGGGUUGUUCCUUUUCUCGCACGCCCUUGUAUGUUAUUUGUCAUUUUGGGGUAUAGUGGAUUCUCUUACCGAUUUUGUUAAUGGUUGUUUACAUAGAUAGAUUAUAGUCUGAUCAGCUGGCUAUGUUUUUGUAAGCCAAGCUCAUUACAACCUGGCCUGACAUCUCCUCAUCAGUCAGGUCGCUCUCUUUUGUGUACAGGGGGUCUUCCCUUUCUUUUGCAAUGAAAGGAUAUGAUACAAUCUUCAAAAAAAAAAAAAAAAAAUUGGACUACAGCCAAUCCCUUUAGUUCAACGUUUCCAAGACUAUUUAUAGCGGUUAACAAGGAGGUUAGAGUAGCAGAGGCAUGGAACAAUGAGGACAAAGGAAUCUGCAUUUUCAAAGAUAGAAUUUUGAGUGGGAAUUGAGUUCAUUGCAUGAAGUUUUGUAGAGUCUCUGAAAGAUGUAUACCUUGACAGGGAGAAGGACGAUAAGCUAAGAUGGGAACUUGAUCACAACGCUCCUUCUCUAUUAGAGACUUAUAGUCGCUCUAGAUCAUCAUAUCAUACCUGAACGUGGAAAAGGUAUGAUUCUCCUCAAUUUGGAAAUACAUUAUUCUUCCUAAGAUUGAGGGUUUCUUGUGGUUAGUUAUUUUGCAUCGCAUUCCUACUAAAAGUUAUUUUGAAAUCCAGAGGAGUCUUGUUUGAGAAUAAUCAAUGUUUAUUUAUAUGGGGUUGUUUAAUGGAGGAGGAUUGUGAUCAUAUUCUUAUCUCAUGUGAUUAUUCAUGAAUUGUCUAGUUUUACAUGUUUAAAUGGUGGAGACUACUAUGGGUGACUCCAAUGCCUGUGGAAAUGGUCCUUAAGUCUUGUGAAGAUGUUAUGAUGCUUGAUGUCUAGAAAAGAGGUGGUUAACAGUGUGUGGUGCCUACAUUUUGAUCAUUGUGGAUUGCAAGCAAUGAUGUUGUGUUUAAUGGUAAAAAAUGAGAUGGGGGAGAUUUUUUUUUUAAUGAUAAAGAUGAGAUCAACAUUAUGGGUUAAAGCAAUUGAAGGCAAUAGUUGCAUUGAUGAAGUCGGGUGAUGGUCUGAGCUUAGGAAUUUCCAAUAUACUUCUUUUGAAGUUAGAAAAGAAUUUAUUGAAUUUCUCCCAAAGAAAAUGAACUGAAAUUUAAUGUUAGAAGGUUUUGUUAGGGUUAAAUUAGACCUGGCAGGUUGUGGAGGGGUGCUAAGAGACUCAUGUGGUUCUGUGCUUGUAAUUUUCUUUAUUUUUUUGGGUAUAAUGGAUUGUAAUUUGCAAAAUUAAUGACCAUUAAAAAUGUUUUUAAAGUUUUUGUCUUAUCGGCAUGGAUUGGUAAGAAAUCUCUCAUUGUUGAAUCUAACUCUAAAGUGAUU